This 1413-nucleotide ribosomal RNA is filed under the name metagenome. RNAcentral's name for it is "bacterial LSU rRNA". It matches the Rfam family "Bacterial large subunit ribosomal RNA", at positions 1528 to 2925 of the family's 2925-position model. The record is from RNAcentral.
CCUCUUAGGCAAAUCCGGGACCCUUUAUGCCGAGCACCGAGACGAGCCCUAUUGGGCGAAGUGACUGACACCACGCUUCCAGGAAAAGCCAUUAAGCUUCAGCUAUAGAAAAACCGUACCGUAAACCGACACUGGUAGGCAGGGUGAGAAUCCCAAGGCGCUUGAGAGAACUCGGGUGAAGGAACUAGGCAAAAUGGCACCGUAACUUCGGGAGAAGGUGCGCCCUUUUUGGUGGCUACAUGCGUAGCUGAGCUGAGAAGGGUCGCAGUAACCUGGCCGCUGCGACUGUUUAUCAAAAACACAGCACUCUGCAAACACGAAAGUGGACGUAUAGGGUGUGACGCCUGCCCGGUGCUGGAAGGUUAAUUGAUGGGGUCAGCCGCAAGGCGAAGCUCUUGAUCGAAGCCCCAGUAAACGGCGGCCGUAACUAUAACGGUCCUAAGGUAGCGAAAUUCCUUGUCGGGUAAGUUCCGACCUGCAAAUGGCGUAACGACAGCGGCGCUGUCUCCACCCGAGACUCAGUGAAAUUGAAUUCGCUGUGAAGAUGCAGCGUUCCCGCGGCAAGACGGAAAGACCCCGUGAACCUUUACUAUAGCUUUACACUGAACGUUGAGUUCUUCUGUGUAGGAUAGGUGGGAGGCUUUGAAGCGCAGACGCCAGUUUGCGUGGAGCCAACCUUGAAAUACCACCCUGAAGUGCUUGACGUUCUAACCUAGGCCCGUAAUCCGGGUCAGGGACCGUGUAUGGUGGGUAGUUUGACUGGGGCGGUCUCCUCCCAAAGAGUAACGGAGGAGCACGAAGGUACGCUCAGCGCGGUCGGACAUCGCGCACUGUGUGCAAUGGCAUAAGCGUGCUUGACUGCGAGAUCGACGGAUCAAGCAGGUAAAAGUAGGUCAUAGUGAUCCGGUGGUUCUGUAUGGAAGGGCCAUCGCUCAACGGAUAAAAGGUACUCCGGGGAUAACAGGCUGAUACCGCCCAAGAGUUCAUAUCGACGGCGGUGUUUGGCACCUCGAUGUCGGCUCAUCACAUCCUGGGGCUGUAGCCGGUCCCAAGGGUAUGGCUGUUCGCCAUUUAAAGUGGUACGCGAGCUGGGUUCAGAACGUCGUGAGACAGUUCGGUCCCUAUCUGUCGUGGGCGUUGGAGAUUUGAGGGGGGCUGCUCCUAGUACGAGAGGACCGGAGUGGACGUUCCGCUGGUGUUCGGGUUGUCAUGCCCAUGGCAUUGCCCGGUAGCUAUGAACGGAAGUGAUAACCGCUGAAAGCAUCUAAGCGGGAAGCACGCCCCAAGAUGAGAUCUCCCGAGAGCUUGACUCUCCUUAAGGCACCAUCAAGACCAGGUGGUUGAUAGGUCAGGUGUGGAAGUGCAGCAAUGCAUGGAGCUAACUGAUACUAAUGAGCCGUGAGGCUUGACCAA